UACUGGCCUGCCAAGUCGGUG
Molecule: microRNA, 21 nt
Filed under: Branchiostoma belcheri (Belcher's lancelet)
Lineage: Eukaryota; Metazoa; Chordata; Leptocardii; Amphioxiformes; Branchiostomatidae
Description: bbe-miR-193b-3p
Gene: bbe-miR-193b-3p
Source: miRBase by way of RNAcentral